This 409-nucleotide ribosomal RNA is filed under the name uncultured Bergeyella sp. RNAcentral's name for it is "bacterial SSU rRNA". It matches the Rfam family "Bacterial small subunit ribosomal RNA", at positions 505 to 916 of the family's 1533-position model. Lineage: Bacteria; Pseudomonadati; Bacteroidota; Flavobacteriia; Flavobacteriales; Weeksellaceae. The record is from RNAcentral.
GUGCCAGCCGCCGCGGUAAUACGGAGGGUGCAAGCGUUAUCCGGAUCUAUUGGGUUUAAAGGGUCCGUAGGCGGGCUGAUAAGUCAGUGGUGAAAUCCUGCAGCUUAACUGUAGAACUGCCAUUGAUACUGUUAGUCUUGAGUAUAUUUGAAGUAGCUGGAAUAAGUAGUGUAGCGGUGAAAUGCAUAGAUAUUACUUAGAACACCAAUUGCGAAGGCAGGUUACUAAGAUAAGACUGACGCUGAGGGACGAAAGCGUGGGGAGCGAACAGGAUUAGAUACCCUGGUAGUCCACGCUGUAAACGAUGCUGACUCGUUUUUGGUUUUUAGGGAUCAGAGACUAAGCGAAAGUGAUAAGUCAGCCACCUGGGGAGUACGACCGCAAGGUUGAAACUCAAAGAAAUUGACGG